Molecule: unclassified non-coding RNA, 2464 nt
Filed under: Hevea brasiliensis (rubber tree)
Lineage: Eukaryota; Viridiplantae; Streptophyta; Magnoliopsida; Malpighiales; Euphorbiaceae
Source: RNAcentral
GUAGAAAAUUGAUACACACAUUUUAUUCAACUGGAAUCCCUUUAAAAACAAGAAGAAAAUCAACUACUUCCUAAUAUGUAGGAAGCACAAUCUCACAAUCAACAAUAAAACAGGACAACUAAAUAACAGUCCUUGACCAACUCAAAUAAUAAAAAACACAUAAAAAAUCGGACUCAAGAACUUAAACAGCAAUAAAUAGAUUUUUACAUACUAACAUACUUCCCCUUAAUGCAAAAAUCUACUACACCCAACUUAUCUCUAAAAUACACAAAUUUCUCAAAAGAAAGUGACUUAGUAAAUAAAUCAGCAACUUGUUCUUGGGAGUUGUAAUGUUCUAUCGUAAUGCUUCCUUCAACCACAAGCUCUCUUAUGAAAUGAUGUCGAGUGUCAAUGUGCCUUGCAUGACUAUGAUGAAUUGGAUUUUUUGUCAUUGCAAUAGUGGAUUGAUUAUCACAAAAGAUUGUUGUGGCCUCCUUUUGAUGUAGCUUCAUAUCUCCCAAAAUUCUUCUCAACCAAAUUGCUUGGCAAGCUACUUCUGAUGAUGACAAAGCAGUAGAUGGCUGCUCCUUUGAGCACCAGGAUAUGGCAUUUGAUCUAAGUUUGAAUAGAUAGCCCGUAGUACUCUUGUGGUCAUCAAUUGAACCUGCCCAAUCACUAUUAGAAAAUCUACAGAACUUAAAGUUGUUAGUGUUAGAGUACCAAAGACCAUAAGAGCAUGUUCCUUUCAAAUAUCUUAGCACUCUCUUCGCUGCACCAUAAUGAAUUUUGCUUGGAUUUUGCAUAAACCGUGACAAAAGACCGGUAGCUUGCAAAAUGUCAAGGCAACUAUUUGUGAGAUAGAGUAGACUUCCUACCAAAUUUCGAUACACUUGAAAAUCUGCAUUCUCUUCUCCAUCAUCCAGGCUGUAUUUAUGAUUAGUAAUCAUUGGAGUUUUGACCGGAUUACAAUCUUUCAUCAUAAACUUCUUAAGAAGAUCAUUCACAUAUUUUUCUUGUGAAAUAAAAAUUUCAGCAUCACAUUGUUUUACCUCUAAACCUAAGAAAUAACUCAUCAAACCCAAAUCAGUCAUUUCAAAUUCAGCGACCAUAAUCCUCUUAAAAUCAUGAAUUAAAGCAACACUAUUUCCAGUAUAGAUUAAAUCAUCCAUAUAAAGGCAAACAAUCAAUACCUCAUCAGCUCCUUGUGUUUUGACAUACAAAGUGGGCUCACUUGCAUUCUUUUGAAAGCCAUUUUUUAUGAAAUGCCUGUCAAUCCUCUCAUGCCAGGCUCUCGGUGCUUGUUUGAGAUCGUAAAGGGCUUUUUUUAAUCGAUACACCUUCAUUUCUUCACCAACAACUUCAUAUUCUCUUGGCUACUGUACAUAUACUUCUUCUUCCAAUAAACCAUUUAAAAAGGCUGAUUUCAUAUCAAAUUGAAAAACUGUCCACUUAUAAUGAGUAGUAAUUAAUAAAACAAUACAGAUGGUGUCAAACCUGGCCAUUGAAGAGAAUGCCUCUUCAAAUCAAUGCCUUCCCUUUGCAUGUAUCCAUGGGCAACUAUUCGAGCUUUAUGUUUUUGAACCGACCCAUCGGGUUUAUAUUUGAGUUUGUACACUCGUUUCAGCCCCACAACUUCUUUUCCCAACAGCAAGUCAACAAGCUCCCAUGUUUUGUUUUUCUCUAAUGCUUUCAUCUUCUCAUCCAUCACAACAGGCCACUUAUUGCUUUUUACAGCUUCUUCAAAGCUAUCAAGCUCUUCAAUUUGUGCUAGUUGACAUCUCUUAGUUGGUGCAUAGAUCUUGGCUAAGGAUCUCCACUUAUGUGGAGGUGUAGUUGAGGAAGAGGAGUUUGAUGAUGUAGAGCUAGAAGAACUAGUACCAAGUGUGGAAGGGCUAGUACUAGGUGUUGAAGAACCCGAACCACCAUUGCCACCAUCAUCUUCUAUGGACUCUAUUGGUUCAAUAAAUUCACCAUCAUCUUGAAUGUAACCAGCACCUGUUUGCAUCUCAGUCUAAUUCCAUUGAUUUUUCCUAGGAUGCCACAACCAAUUGUCAUCCUCUAAUGAAGCUGAUAAUGCUUUCUUGUCAUUAUCAAGAGUGAGAGGAAACAAAUUAUUCUUGGCCAUAGGAACCUUGAGUAGUAUGUUCUUCCUUGUUUUGUCUGAAAAAACAGAACAUUAAAAAUCUUCAAUGAUGAGUGAAUAACCUUGUCUUAGAAAUUGCCCAACACUCAACAGGUUUGAAUCUAGGUCAAGGACAUAAAGAACAUCUUUAAUGCAACUAGUUCCACUAGAAUUAAUCUUCACAGUUCCAUUUCCCUGUGCUUCACGAACUACUCCAUCACCCAUUUUCAUUGUAGUCUUUAUUGACUUGUCCAAAUUGAUAAAAGCCUCCAAGUUCGCUGUCAUAUGAUGGUAGCACCCGCUAUCCAUAUGCCAAAUGUCUGAAUCAUAAGGUUUAGCAGCAUAGCAUGCAAGAAACAAACU